Molecule: ribosomal RNA, 499 nt
Filed under: uncultured Glomeromycotina
Lineage: Eukaryota; Fungi; Glomeromycota
Description: partial small subunit ribosomal RNA
Rfam family: Eukaryotic small subunit ribosomal RNA
Source: RNAcentral
CCAAUAGCGUAUAUUAAAGUUGUUGCAGUUAAAAAGCUCGUAGUUGAAUUUCGGGGUCAGUAAGUUGGUCGUGCCUAUGGUAUGUACUGGCUUUACUGAUUCCUCCUUCUUGAAGAACUGUAAUGCCAUUAAUUUGGUGUUGCAGGGAAUCAGGACUGUUACUUUGAAAAAAUUAGAGUGUUUAAAGCAGGCUUACGCUUGAAUAUAUUAGCAUGGAAUAAUGAAAUAGGACGUUGAUCCUAUUUUGUUGGUUUCUAGGGUUGACGUAAUGAUUAAUAGGGAUAGUUGGGGGCAUUAGUAUUCAAUUGUCAGAGGUGAAAUUCUUGGAUUUAUUGAAGACUAACUACUGCGAAAGCAUUUGCCAAGGAUGUUUUCAUUAAUCAAGAACGAAAGUUAGGGGAUCGAAGACGAUCAGAUACCGUCGUAGUCUUAACCAUAAACUAUGCCGACUAGGGAUCGGAUGAUGUUAAUUUUUUAAUGACUCAUUCGGCGCCUUACG